AAAAAACUGGCACACUGGUUCUUGCUGUAGUCCCAGCUAUUCUGAAGGCUGAGGCAGAGGGGGCCCAGGAGAUCAAGGCUACUAUAAGCCAUGAUUGUGCCACUACACUCCAGCCUUGGUGGCAGAGUAAGCCUGUCUCAAAAAAACAAAAAACAAACAAACAAAAAACCACAAAACAAAGAAAUACCUGAAACGGGGUAAAUUACAAAGAAAAGAGGUUUAAUUGGCUCACGGUUCUGCAGGCUUUACAGGAAGCAUGGUGCUGGCAUCUGCUUCUCAGGGAGCUUUCAAUCAUGGUGGAAGGCAAAGGGGGAAGCCUGUGUCCCGCAAGGCCAGAACAGGAGCAAAAGAGGGAGCAGGGGGAGGUGCCACACACUUAAAGAACCAGAUCUCCCAAGAACUCACUGUUUCAAGGACAGCACCACGCCAUGAGGGAUCCUCCUCCAUGAUCCAAUCACCUCCUACCUAGCCAACACCUCCAACGUUGGGGAUUACAGUUCAACAUGAGAUUUGUCUAUUCAGAAUAUUACAUUAAUUGAUUUCUCA
Molecule: long non-coding RNA, 546 nt
Filed under: Pan troglodytes (chimpanzee)
Lineage: Eukaryota; Metazoa; Chordata; Mammalia; Primates; Hominidae
Description: long non-coding RNA NONPTRT001175
Source: RNAcentral